Molecule: ribosomal RNA, 502 nt
Filed under: uncultured bacterium
Lineage: Bacteria
Description: bacterial SSU rRNA
Rfam family: Bacterial small subunit ribosomal RNA
Source: RNAcentral
AACGAACGCUGGCGGCGCGCCUAAUACAUGCAAGUCGAGCGAGAAGGUGUAGCAAUACACUUGUAAAGCGGCGAACGGGUGAGGAAUGCAUGGGUAACCUACCCUCGAGUGGGGAAUAACUAGCCGAAAGGUUAGCUAAUACCGCAUACGUUUCCGGAACUUCGGUUUCGGAAAGAAAGCAAUACCGUGGGUAUUGCGCUCCUGGAUGGGCUCAUGUCCUAUCAGCUUGUUGGUGAGGUAACGGCUCACCAAGGCUUCGACGGGUAGCUGGUCUGAGAGGACGAUCAGCCACACUGGCACUGCGACACGGGCCAGACUCCUACGGGAGCAGCAGUAAGGAAUAUUGCGCAAUGGACGAAAGUCUGACGCAGCGACGCCGCGUGGGGGGAUGAAGGUCUUCGGAUUGUAAACCCCUUUCGGGAGGGAAGAUGGAGUGGGUAACCACUUGGACGGUACCUCCAGAAGCAGCCACGGCUAACUUCGUGCCAGCAGCCGCGGUAAU